RNAcentral lists this unclassified non-coding RNA (1316 nucleotides) under Hevea brasiliensis (rubber tree). The record is from RNAcentral. Lineage: Eukaryota; Viridiplantae; Streptophyta; Magnoliopsida; Malpighiales; Euphorbiaceae.
GAACUCUUUAAGUAGUCCGCAUCACUUCAACGAGAUCAAAUUGGUCCUUUUUUGUGCCAUUUCGGACCGUAGAACUGUUGACCGAUGCCCAGCCCAAAUCAAAAGUGUUCAAUGGCUAGCCGAUAUUUAUGUUCUUAAGUACUUUCUAGGGAACAGAACAGCUAAGGGGUAAAAAUGUCCAUGACUGUUUGAUUGAUAUGAUCAAAACAGCACAUGAAUGAUCUUAAAUCUUGACGUAAAUGACAAAAACCAAUUUCCAAGCAUAUGACACAAAAUGUAAAUGCAAACACCAUAAGAACUCCUCAAAUUACAAAAAGCCAACACCACAGCACCAACAAAUUAGGUUGAGAAGAUAUUGUUUGAGGCAUCACUUCUUCAGCACAUUGUACAAAUAGGCAGCAAUUCCCAGGAUUAUGCACAACAAAAUAAUAUCAAUGCAGAAGUUUCGGCUAGAUCUCAACUGAUUAACAGUGUCUUUGAGUCGAACAUUGGUGUUUUUAAGGUCAGCUGUUGCCUUGUCUACCUUUGUGUCGAUUUCAUCCAUCAAAGGAACUUGCCUAUCCAACUCCUCAUUCAUGUCAUGAGCCAUGUUUUUCAGAGUAUCCAAACCUUCUGAAAUCAUAUCCAAACCUUGAUCCUGCUUCAUUCUUCGCAUUUCAUACUCCUGCCUGAAUUGACUAGAUGUCUCACUUUCUUGAAAGUAUUCACUAUCAAAACGACCAUCUGAAUCAAAUUUGAUUUCAGUACGGGAUGCUGAAGCCCCCCAACCUCCAGUUUGUUUGGGAGCAGCUGCAGUUCCAUCAGGUAUUGCUUCAAUCCUAUCUGGUAAUGCAAGGACCAAAUCAUUACGGGCAGCAAGCUCUUCUGUCGAGAGUCCUUUAACCUUCUUUAUAGCCAAUCUCUGCAACUUAGGGACCUCCUCUAGCAAUUUCGCCUUUGUCCGACGAAUCUCCGCAUUCAAAGCAACAGCAGAUGCCUUAUUUUUCUCUUUUGAAGCAAGCUCCGCUUUCUGAAGAGCGGCUUCGAUAUCAGCCUCAACAACAGCGUAGAGGCGAGCGAAGGCAUCGUCGCCGGAGACAUUGAGAUCCUUUUGCUUUUCGACGUCGUAUUUGUCAUACUUCUUGCAGAUCGCAUCAACUCUGGUUAAAAUGUCGAUGACGCUCAUCUUGAAGCUGAAAGAUACGUACAAUUUCUUUGCUGGGUAAAGGAAUUUGGUAUUUGGCUUGGCAGUCAAGGGAAUAGCACGUAGCCUUUCAAGUUUCAACCAUCAAUGAACCACCAGCGACCAGCCUGUAAGCAACUAAGCAGUAGGCAAC